AACCGGUCUACUAUUUAACACAUCUAACGCCCAUGUAUUAAUAAAUUAAGGAUGUUCUAAGUGUAUAAAUAGAUGAAAAUUUGAAGAUGUAAACACUACGUUGAAGACCUAGGACAAACCCUUCACACACUCUAGUUCUGUUCUGAUAAGAACUGUUUCGAACAACAUGGCAUCUUUGAACAUCUUGUUGUUUACCGCCUUGCUCGYUCUGUUGUUCGUUACUUGCUAUGGGUUUAGACUUCAGAAAGAUCUCGAAAAUGAAUUCGAAGGUAACUCUAAGGAAUUUGAAGAUUCACAAAAGGCAAUUCCAGUUAGACCAGGCAAACGGGAGUCUUCAUUUUACAGGAUGUUAAACGAUCCACAAUACAAUGUAAUCCCCGUCAGACCAGGCAAACGARGGUAAGUAGUCUCGAGAAAUUAACUUUCCCACAAACAAAAUUUUAAUAGCAUUAAACCACGAAAGGGCUAUGCCAAAACAAUGUCCCAAACAGUAGGGACCUGAUUUUAUUACACAUUAUGGUCGAUAUCCUUAUGAUAAAGCUUUGAAGUAAAACCCCUUUCAGUGAAGUGAUACGAUAUUACUUCAUGGUAAACUGGAAACUGCAAAUUUUGUCAGCUUCUCUCGACCUUAAAUGUGUAAUAAACAAUUUCAGUAUUACAUGUUAAAAGCCUGAUUUUUUUUAUUCACUCGUUUUCCAUAUAAUAUCGCGAACGAGCAAGUCCAUCAUUAACCCCCGUCCUUCAGGAACCUGUUGAAAURCUCUAUGUACUGCAUCAUGCCGAAAGUGACUAUUUCUAUGCACGAAUGCGUCGUUUAGCAUACAUGCAGGCAUAUAGUACUGCGUAAGGCGUUCUGCAAUUUGACUUUUAGUCUUGGAGAUAAUCCAGAAUUUUACUUGCAGUGGGUAGCACCGGAUAAUGCUACUCCUCCAUCCCCACCCCUCCCCUCUAAAUCUGGUCCCGUAAGAUGACUUAAAGUUUUGACUUUAUCCAAAAAAUUAAAGGAUUCAGGAGCCUAUGAAACCACCCCUCCCCCUUCCUUUCUCCCUCCCACUUCACCGAAACCCUCUGCUCURUACUCUAACUUUCAAUCUCUUUUCUUUUUCCCCUGAUGUCAGAGCUGAGCCAAAUGAUGCAAGUCCACAAUGGCCUGACCAKUACUCAACCUUUCGUCCAGGCAGAAAGUAAAUGACAGUUUUUCUUCCACGAUAAGAUGGUCGGCUUAAAUCAGAAGAUGACACGAGCUUGAAAAGGAAACUAGAUAAACUAGAAUCAAGAAAUAAGUGAAAAGAAUGGUUCAUGUAUUUUUAAUAGAUACAAAACAAAGCGUUUCAAAUAGUACAAUGAGUUUAGUGUAUUUCCGGUCAAAAUAAAAUUUAACGCCAAUAAGAAUUCCCUAGCUACGUUUGUUGAGAACAAGCGUAUUAUUGAGCUAUAGAACUGGCAGAUUGAUCAUUCAUCGCAUAUUAAAUAUUAUUUUGAAGGCGA
This is a long non-coding RNA of Actinia tenebrosa (Australian red waratah sea anemone), 1488 nucleotides long. Lineage: Eukaryota; Metazoa; Cnidaria; Anthozoa; Actiniaria; Actiniidae. The record is from RefSeq and is a predicted model, not a curated record.